Molecule: long non-coding RNA, 2269 nt
Organism: Polyodon spathula (Mississippi paddlefish)
Lineage: Eukaryota; Metazoa; Chordata; Actinopteri; Acipenseriformes; Polyodontidae
Exons: 2
Source: RefSeq, a predicted model, not a curated record
UGUCUCCUUACUUCCUACAUCUCGAUAUCUGGUUCAAACUACUGAAGGGGACUGUGCUGAAUUCCUCUAUCAAUUUGUAACAGUCUGGCUCUUUACAGUACGUGCUUCUCACUGAGGAGGAAUAAUUAGCCAUAGUUGAUAACACAAGAAGGGGAGCAUUGUGUUGGAUACAGUUCCACGGAGUUCUUGUUAUAAUUAUCACUGUGGGACCAGACUGCACCAAAGCGUGUCUGACACUGAUAUCACUGCAUUCUGCAUCCCAGCAUGAAGUGAAUGGGACGAGGGAUUCAACUGGGUGCUGUUUUGUUGUGAAUGCUGCAACUGGAUUCAAAGGAAACUACAAUACAGUAAGGAUGAGUGGAGGAGAAAUUAUCUACCAGGGGUGGUUAAGAAAGUCCCCGCCAGAGAAAAAAUUAAGGAGAUACGAGGGCUGAAGAUCAAUAUGGCACCUCUGUUCCUGCUUGUCAUGCCAAUUUACACCCACCAAACCUCAGCAAAGGGAUGUUACCAAGCUAUUGAGGCCUGAGCCAGGUAAAUUUCCGCCUGGCUCGUCAGCCUGACCAGUAAGGGUUGCUGAAGUGUGUUGAGGCAAACUACAGUAUUGCCAGCUGACUUUCCUCCCAAAUCAGACAUCGGCGCAGUCAAACAGGGAUCAAACCACACUCCCGUGUUUCACCAGCCACCCCAAACUGUACUGGGUGAGCCACCCUAAAAGUUAUUUUGUGUCACCUUUUGUGUGUGUGUGUGGUGUAAAUGGUGCAAUCUAGCUGUUUGUUUUUGUUGUUGUUUUUCUGGAUAAAAUGAGAAAAAGCCAAAUGGCUGUAUACUAAGUUUUUUUUUUUUUUUUUUAAUGGAAGGCGUCUCGCAACCAGAUGCUGAAAAUGUCUCUGAUUUUUCAAAAAUAGAACUUUCUACGAUUUUAAUUCAAACAAAACCUGAAAAAGCUAGUAUGCUGUCAGUUCUUUGGUGUCUUUAAUAGACUUGCUACAUUAACUAUUGCUCAACAUCAUCAACAUGGCGCAGCUGCACAUGUGAUCAGUUUAAACUGAUUACAGCAGACAAUGUGAAUCCAUCAGGUGUCGCUGCGCUUUCUGGAUGUUUAUAAACUCAUCUUGUUAGACAUAAUAAGCACUGUUUCUUACUAUCAGCUAUCUUACUAUCUUCUGAAAUGUCUGAUGACAUAAUAAAGGGAGAUCUUCAAAGUCACUAGCAUGUUAUCUGCAUUGGGGCCUGCCGUAUUUUUGUCCUAUUUGAUUUGAAAUCAAAUUAAAAAAAAAAAACAUUUAAAAACAGAGUGUGUGUCAUUUGUCAAGAUUUAUCUGGUGGUAAAAACAAUACCUUCUGCAGAGAUUAGCUAAAAUGUUUUAUAUGUAUUACUCAUCUGGAAAAACUCCAGUAGAUGUUGGUUAAAAUAUUGAACGAUGGGAAGCUGUUCAAGUGAUCUGCAUGAAGGAGGCAGUGUCAAGCAGGUUUCUACCUACCAUUUUGUUUGAUCUUAUUCUUUAACAGUAUGACUGCUCUUCAGCACAGAGAACAUGUUUUGAAGACAUCCCACACAAACAAUAAAAAUGUAUGCUAAUGCCUCCUUUUCAGAAUGGUGCUCAAACUGCCAAAUCUGUGUUGACAAAACAACGCCAAGCCACGCCCACUGGCGUGCAAGAUCUUUACAUCCCACCCUGCACCCUCCCACCAGCCAUGCUGACUUCACUGUUUGUUCUGCAUUUGGCAUGCCCUAAAUGUGUGUCCUAAACAGACCCAACCAAGGCAUACUGCCUUCACAAUGGAGCGUCUGUAGACUGGAACAGUUUAUUACAGGAAAAAGUUGAAAUCUGAUAGAAUACCAAAACAAAGUUUUUCACGUGACAUCCAGAAUCACCCAGUUAUUUGUUUAAGAAUUGUAUUAUUGAUAAUAUUUUACAGACAAUUCCAGGUGUCCCUCACAGCAGUUAUAAACAAACAAACAAACAAAAAAUUGGGCACAGAGCAUGCAUGCCUUUUGAAAGCAGUUUGUGUAUGGAAGUGUAAAUGCUGGGGAUUGCUUUUGCAAUGGCCUCUGUGGCUCUUGGUGUCGGAGCCAAAUGACAGUUCCUGUGUUGUACAGUGACAGUUCUCAGUGUGGCAAUGAAAUACAGUACCGAAUGUGCUGUCUCACUCCUGAUGCCCUACCGUGAUAUGGAGUUUGUUUAAGCCAAACACAGUGUUGGUAUUCAUUAUACAAAUGUUUGUUAUUAUUGGACAAUCCUAUUAAAAAAAAAAAAAAAAAAAAAAA